RNAcentral lists this ribosomal RNA (1244 nucleotides) under uncultured bacterium. Its description in RNAcentral is "bacterial SSU rRNA". It matches the Rfam family "Bacterial small subunit ribosomal RNA", at positions 138 to 1385 of the family's 1533-position model. The record is from RNAcentral.
AAAGGAUAACAGUUGGAACGACUGCUAUGCCCUAUAUGCCUUUAAUACAUAAGUAUGCAAGGGAAACGCUUUAGUGCUUAAGGAUGGGUCUGUAUGGUAUCAGCUUGUUGGUGAGGUAAUGGCUCACCAAGGCUAUGACGCCUAACUGGUUUGAGAGGAUGAUCAGUCACACUGGAACUGAGACACGGUCCAGACUCCUACGGGAGGCAGCAGUGGGGAAUAUUGCACAAUGGACGAAAGUCUGAUGCAGCAACGCCGCGUGGAGGAUGACACAUUUCGGUGCGUAAACUCCUUUUAUAUAGGAAGAUAAUGACGGUACUAUAUGAAUAAGCACCGGCUAACUCCGUGCCAGCAGCCGCGGUAAUACGGAGGGUGCAAGCGUUACUCGGAAUCACUGGGCGUAAAGAGCGUGUAGGCGGGUAUAUAAGUCAGAAGUGAAAUCCUAUAGCUUAACUAUAGAACUGCUUUUGAAACUGUAUACCUAGAAUGUGGGAGAGGUAGAUGGGAAUUUUCUGGUGUAGGGGGUAAAAUUCCGUAGAGAUCAGAAAGGAAUACCGGAUUGCGAAGGCCGAUCUACUGGAACCAUUAUUGACGCUGAGACGCGAAAGCGUGGGGAGCAAACAGGGAUUAGGAUACCCCUGGUAGUCCACGCCCUAAACGAUGUACACUAGUUGGUUGUGAGGCUCGACCCUUGCAGUAAUGCAGUUAACACAUUAAGGUGUACCGCCUGGGGGAGUACGGGUCGCAAGAUUAAAACUCAAGGGAAUAGACGGGGACCCGCACAAGCGGUGGAGCAUGUGGUUUAAUUCGACGAUACACGAAGGACCUUACCUGGACUUGACAUAGUAAGAACUUUCUAGAGAUAGAUUGGUGUCUGCUUGCAGAAACUUAUAUACAGGUGCUGCACGGCUGUCGUCAGCUCGUGUCGUGAGAUGUUGGGUUAAGUCCCGCAACGAGCGCAACCCUCGUCAUUAGUUGCUAACAGUUCGGCUGAGAACUCUAAUGAGACUGCCUACGCAAGUAGGAGGAAGGUGAGGACGACGUCAAGUCAUCAUGGCCCUUACGUCCAGGGCUACACACGUGCUACAAUGGGGUAUACAAAGAGCAGCAAUACGGUGACGUGGAGCAAAUCUCAAAAAUAUCUCCCAGUUCGGAUUGUAGUCUGCAACUCGACUACAUGAAGUUGGAAUCGCUAGUAAUCGUAGAUCAGCUAUGCUACGGUGAAUACGUUCCCGGGUCUUGUA